GUGUGUCUAUAGCAACAAGUGAAGAACAGUAAAACAUGGCCUUCUAUUCAACUUUCGUCGCCGCGGUCCUGAUGGCUGUAAUCGCCGUAGCAAGUGCCAUUGAUUUGGCGUCGGUCAAAACGGACAAGCUUAUUGGUGCCUAGGAAUCACAAACCAAAGCGAAGUGCGACCGAACCAACGGAAUGACAACGGAAAAAAUGGCUACGGCGACUAUGAUUUAAUAAAUUAGCAUCACAGCGCACAAUUUGCAACACAAA
Anopheles cruzii is the source of this 257-nucleotide long non-coding RNA. RefSeq lists it as uncharacterized. The transcript is spliced from 2 exons. NCBI's taxonomy places the organism in Eukaryota, Metazoa, Arthropoda, Insecta, Diptera, Culicidae. The record is from RefSeq and is a predicted model, not a curated record.